RNAcentral lists this ribosomal RNA (851 nucleotides) under Cephalenchus sp. MR-2019. RNAcentral describes it as "SSU rRNA". It matches the Rfam family "Eukaryotic small subunit ribosomal RNA", at positions 102 to 972 of the family's 1831-position model. The record is from RNAcentral. Lineage: Eukaryota; Metazoa; Nematoda; Chromadorea; Rhabditida; Tylenchidae.
UACAACAGCUGUAAUUUACUUGAUCUUGACAAUCCUACUUGGAUAACUGAGGUAAUUCUUGAGCUAAUACAUGCACCAAAGCUCUGACCUYACGGGAAGAGUGCAUUUAUUAGAACAAAACCAAGCGGCUUCCGUCGUUUUUUGUUGACUCAGAAUAACUCAGCUGAUCGCAUGGUCUUGCACCGGCGACGUGUCUUUCAAGCAUCUGCCUUAUCAACUUUCGAUGGUAGCGUAUCGGACUACCAUGGUGGUGACGGGUAACGGAGGAUAAGGGUUCGACUCCGGAGAAGGGGCCUGAGAAAUGGCCACUACGUCUAAGGAUGGCAGCAGGCGCGCAAAUUACCCACUCUCAGUGCGAGGAGGUAGUGACGAAAAAUAACGAGGUUGUUCUCUUUGAGGCCAACCAUCGGAAUGGGUACAAUCUAAACCCUUUAACGAGUAUCUAUGAGAGGGCAAGUCUGGUGCCAGCAGCCGCGGUAAUUCCAGCUCUCAAAAUGCAUAGAAUCAUUGCUGCGGUUAAAAAGCUCGUAGUUGGAUCUGUGCCGGGGACUUGGUCCACUUUCGGGUGCGUACUGAGCUUCCCGGCUUUCGGCUGGUUUUCCUUUCGUUGCCUUCACUGGUGGCGUUAGGUGGCUGGCGCGUUUACUUUGAAUAAAUCAGAGUGCUUAACACAGGCGUUUMGCUUGAAUGUUCGUGCAUGGAAUAAUAGAAGAGGAUUUCGGUUCUAUUUUAUUGGUUUUCUGGACUGAGAUAAUGGUUAACAGAGACAYAACGGGGGCAUUCGUAUUGCUGCGUGAGAGGUGAAAUUCUUGGACCGCAGCAAGACGAACUACAGCGAAAGCAUUUGCCAA